GAGUCGUAGGCAGAUUGCAAUUCCUGUGUACGGUGGAAUGCGCAGAAUAUCAGGAGGAACACCGAUGCGAACGCAGAUCUCUGGGCCGUCAACUGACGCUGAGGACGAAAGGGUGGGGAUGAAACAGGCUUAGAUACCCUGGUAGUCCACCCCGUAAACGUUGGGAACUAGUUGUGGGGUCCAUUCCACGGAUUCCGUGACGCACUAACGCAU
Molecule: ribosomal RNA, 213 nt
Filed under: uncultured bacterium
Lineage: Bacteria
Description: partial 16S ribosomal RNA
Rfam family: Bacterial small subunit ribosomal RNA
Source: RNAcentral